RNAcentral lists this long non-coding RNA (1865 nucleotides) under Brassica napus (rape). RNAcentral's name for it is "long non-coding RNA (BNAP_LNC010868)". Lineage: Eukaryota; Viridiplantae; Streptophyta; Magnoliopsida; Brassicales; Brassicaceae. The record is from RNAcentral.
AAGGCAAGCUCACGAAUCUGGGAUCUUCUCUCUGUAUGAUUGGAAUUCUGAGUUUGCACACCAAAUAACGAAGCAUAGCGUUUGAUAAACGAGUCUCUAAAUGUUCUUGGAGAAGCACUUUUGAUUUUGCAUUCGCCUUAACACACUUUUAGCUUUCAAAACUUCCUCUGGGACUCAGACUACAAAGCUCUUCUAACAUCUACUAGUUUAUGGAGGAGUUUUCUUAGAAAAGCCUCUUCCUUGUCCUUGUCUACUUAGUGGUCUAUAUGGCCAAAUAUGAUGAUUUCAACAGGCCUAGAUGAGCAGAAGUUUUGUACUUUUAGUGGGGGAGCUGUAUUAGUCCACCUAGGGUCAUCUGGAUUGAUGACUUUCGUGGUGGUUGGGGGGAAUUUCAGCAAACUUAGAUAGUCUCUUUAAGUUGAGGAAUGUGCACGAUGCAUGAAGUUCAUGUUUUGCCUCUUGCUACAUCUGGAAUUUCUUUGGAGUCUGAUGGCUGUCUCAGUUUUUGAUUCUCCAAGGACUAUGUUUUUGGCAUCAGAGACUGUGAUAUCACCAGUGAGAUUUGUAUGAAGCUGAUCAAAAAUUGCUUGUUUAUCGCCGACCUUUGGUUUUUCCAAUUAAUAUCUAAAACAAAAAGACGGAAAACACCCCCAUAAUAAAAAUUAUUAACAAGUUUGCCCCCAUUGACCUAGACCUAUUUAAAUAUCUAUCUCCCUUGAGCCGAAAACACGUUCCCCCAUUCUCCCAAUUUCUCAAAGACGAUAAAUCCCUAAUUCCCCCAAUCGAUUCGCACGAGCCGAUUUCUACAUCUUCUUCGAUCCGUCUUUUGAUCUUUCAUCUGGUAAAAUUUCGAUUCGUCUUUUGCUAAUUGUUCAGCUAAUUUAUAUCCGUUGAUGAUUCGUCUGAAUGAAUUCGAUUCGUUUUCACUUUUCGAUUGAGAAUUUACGUCUGUUUUAGGUUUAGAUCAUAGGAAUCUGUAGAUCUAGCGCUUUGAGAUAUGAGUUUCCGUCGGAUCUUUGAUUUGUAUAUAUGAGGCUUGAAUUUAUAUCUCUAUGCGAUGAAUCUGUUGUUUGAUUUGUUAAUUUUGAUUGUAUUUUCCAGAUUUAAUUGAGCUGAAGAUGGCGGACUCAUUGAGUAUGUCUCUUGAUGAAAUGGUUAAGAGGAGCAAGGCCGCUAAAAAGUCUGCUGGUAAAGGAGUUUCCCGAGGUGGAGCUAAAGGUGCUGGAAGAGGAGCUGGUGGACCUGUUCGCAGAGGUCCUCUAGCUGUGAAAGCUAGGCCGUCAUCAUUCUCAAACAAGGCAAGCUCACGAAUCUGGGAUCUUCUCUCUGUAUGAUUGGAAUUCUGAGUUUGCACACCAAAUAACGAAGCAUAGCGUUUGAUAAACGAGUCUCUAAAUGUUCUUGGAGAAGCACUUUUGAUUUUGCAUUCGCCUUAACACACUUUUAGCUUUCAAAACUUCCUCUGGGACUCAGACUACAAAGCUCUUCUAACAUCUACUAGUUUAUGGAGGAGUUUUCUUAGAAAAGCCUCUUCCUUGUCCUUGUCUACUUAGUGGUCUAUAUGGCCAAAUAUGAUGAUUUCAACAGGCCUAGAUGAGCAGAAGUUUUGUACUUUUAGUGGGGGAGCUGUAUUAGUCCACCUAGGGUCAUCUGGAUUGAUGACUUUCGUGGUGGUUGGGGGGAAUUUCAGCAAACUUAGAUAGUCUCUUUAAGUUGAGGAAUGUGCACGAUGCAUGAAGUUCAUGUUUUGCCUCUUGCUACAUCUGGAAUUUCUUUGGAGUCUGAUGGCUGUCUCAGUUUUUGAUUCUCCAAGGACUAUGUUUUUGGCAUCAGAGACUGUGAUAUCACCAGUGAGAUUUGUAUGA